Molecule: ribosomal RNA, 522 nt
Filed under: uncultured bacterium
Lineage: Bacteria
Description: bacterial SSU rRNA
Rfam family: Bacterial small subunit ribosomal RNA
Source: RNAcentral
UCACGACGAACGCUGGCGGCGUGCCUAAUACAUGCAAGUCGAACGGUCUUUCUAUGGAAGCUUGCUUCCACUGAGAAGAUAGUGGCGAACGGGUGAGUAACACGUGGGUAACCUGCCCAUAAGAGGGGGAUAACAUCCGGAAACGGGUGCUAAUACCGCAUAGUUUUCUUGAUCGCAUGAUCGGGAAAGGAAAGACGGCCUUUGUGCUGUCGCUUAUGGAUGGACCCGCGGCGUAUUAGUUAGUUGGUGAGGUAACGGCUCACCAAGACGAUGAUACGUAGCCGACCUGAGAGGGUGAUCGGCCACAUUGGGACUGAGACACGGCCCAAACUCCUACGGGAGGCAGCAGUAGGGAAUCUUCCGCAAUGGACGAAAGUCUGACGGAGCAACGCCGCGUGAGUGAAGAAGGUUUUUCCGGAUCGUAAAACUCUGUUGUCAGAGAAGAACAAGUUGGAGAGUAACUGCUCCAGCCUUGACGGUAUCUGACCAGAAAGCCACGGCUAACUACGUGCCAGCAGCUGC